GAUGAACGCUGGCGGCGUGCCUAAUACAUGCAAGUCGAGCGAACAGACGAGGAGCUUGCUCCUCUGACGUUAGCGGCGGACGGGUGAGUAACACGUGGAUAACCUACCUAUAAGACUGGGAUAACUUCGGGAAACCGGAGCUAAUACCGGAUAAUAUAUUGAACCGCAUGGUUCAAUAGUGAAAGACGGUUUUGCUGUCACUUAUAGAUGGAUCCGCGCCGUAUUAGCUAGUUGGUAAGGUAACGGCUUACCAAGGCAACGAUGCGUAGCCGACCUGAGAGGGUGAUCGGCCACACUGGAACUGAGACACGGUCCAGACUCCUACGGGAGGCAGCAGUAGGGAAUCUUCCGCAAUGGGCGAAAGCCUGACGGAGCAACGCCGCGUGAGUGAUGAAGGUCUUCGGAUCGUAAAACUCUGUUAUUAGGGAAGAUCAAAUGUGUAAGUAACUAUGCACGUCUUGACGGUACCUAAUCAGAAAGCCACGGCUAACUACGUG
RNAcentral lists this ribosomal RNA (497 nucleotides) under uncultured bacterium. RNAcentral describes it as "partial 16S ribosomal RNA". It matches the Rfam family "Bacterial small subunit ribosomal RNA", at positions 28 to 507 of the family's 1533-position model. The record is from RNAcentral.